RNAcentral lists this long non-coding RNA (1240 nucleotides) under Apteryx owenii (little spotted kiwi). RNAcentral's name for it is "lncRNA (ENSAOWG00000018678.1)". Lineage: Eukaryota; Metazoa; Chordata; Aves; Apterygiformes; Apterygidae. The record is from RNAcentral.
GUUCUACACCCCAUUCACGGGCUCUGCUUACGCGAAUUCCGUAAGGCGCGAGGGUAGCGGCAACGAGCGAAACCUGCUCCCGUCCCUGACGCUAACGGCGCGGUUCGCGCACCGCCGGACGUCGUUUGCGCAGCCUACGCCGAGGAAGGAGAGAGGCUCCGGUGGAGCUUACGACCUUUGCGUAGCCGCUAGGGAGAGCUCUUCAAUGGCUUACGGCUGAGUAGAGGGAGGGCAGCGUUGAGGGGCGGGGACUGCCUGGGCCCUGCCCCGGACGGUGACGUAGAGAGGCUUUGUGAAUCCCAGGCUGAAGUUUGGUUGAGCCACAGGAGGGGUGCAGGAGCCACUGUGAAGGAACGGCAACACGUCGUAUCAGGGACAAAGGGACAUCGUCACAGAAGCCGGGAGAUGAAGCCCGUUCUCCACAGGGGACAGCCACACUGUGGCUGUGACAGCGCCGGGACAACUCACCUCUCGACAGCCCGCAGGAGGUAACCGUCGAGGACCUGACGGGGAACAAGCAGUCCUGCUCUCUGGGCUGCACCGAGUCAGGGCGACGCUGCAAGCAAGCAGUCGUGGACUGUGCAGCACCGAUGACACGAACCACAGGUCAGUGGUGUCACAGUAGCUACCACUGUCCUAGGGCAUGCCCCAGGCAUGUCACAAGAAAUCCGUGCAGCACCCGCUACACAGGCUUUUGGCUAUAAUAGCCCCUGCCAAAGCAUGGCAACAGGAAGACACCACUUCUCCUGAUGUGCUGGGAUCAGGAUGACAGUCCACAACAAAUGAGACAUGAUUCCUUUGCACAGGGAUAAAAAAGUGCCUCCCCCCCUCUCCCCCCAGUGCCCUCUCAGCCCCAUUAAGUUUUGAGGCAGAGCACUGCAAUUUGUUGCAGCAGGUAUGAGCCUGCUUUCUUCCGCAAAGGCACAAUGACACCCCACAGUUGUGGCCUCCUCACGAGCUCCUUUGAGGCAGCAUAGUCACCCUUGUGUUACAGAGGAGCUAGAAAGCAGCCUUCCCACAAAUUCCACUUCCUACUAACUUCGUUAUCCUUUCUGUACACCUCUCCUUUCUGACGAAUGCCUGGUCUGUUUUGAAUCCCUACCUGCACAAAAAAACAUACUGUCAUGCACUUCUGAACUCUUCAAGAGCUCCCCGCUGGAUUGAGCCCUCAGUCUGUAAUGGCUGCUAAGAAUUAAAACAAGGCCUUUAUGUCCUUACUGCCUUUGUAAAGCUUAGCGGG